This 31-nucleotide transfer RNA is filed under the name Anas platyrhynchos (mallard). Its description in RNAcentral is "partial tRNA-Trp". RNAcentral also lists the same sequence under 9 other names. The record is from RNAcentral. Lineage: Eukaryota; Metazoa; Chordata; Aves; Anseriformes; Anatidae.
AAACUUAGGAUAACACCCACCUAAACCGAAG